CCCUUAGAUGUUCUGGGCCGCACGCGCGCUACACUGACUGCUCCAACAAGUUACCUGGGCUGACAAGCAUCCGGGAAAUCUUGCAAAGGCAGUCGUGAUGGGGAUAGAUUCUUGUAAUUUUUGAUCUUCAACGAGGAAUUCCUAGUAAACGCAAGUCAUCAGCUUGCAUUGAUUACGUCCCUGCCCUUUGUACACACCGCCCGUCGCAUCUACCGAUUGAAUGGAGAGGCAAAAUCUUCGGACCGUGACGCUUGGGAGUCAAAUCUCGGGCUGUCGUGAGAAGUGGAUUAAACCUUUCUAUUUAGAGGAAGGUAAAGUCGUAACA
Molecule: ribosomal RNA, 325 nt
Filed under: uncultured eukaryote
Lineage: Eukaryota
Description: partial 18S ribosomal RNA
Rfam family: Eukaryotic small subunit ribosomal RNA
Source: RNAcentral